UUACGACCAUAUCCCGUUGAAACACCGGGUUUCGUAUGAUCACCGAAGUUAAAUAAAGUUGAGCCUGGUCAAUACCUAGAUAGGCGACCGCUUGGGAAUACCAG
Non-coding RNA from Acanthosepion pharaonis, 104 nucleotides. The record is from the annotation of a GenBank genome assembly. Lineage: Eukaryota; Metazoa; Mollusca; Cephalopoda; Sepiida; Sepiidae.